This 465-nucleotide ribosomal RNA is filed under the name uncultured bacterium. RNAcentral's name for it is "bacterial SSU rRNA". It matches the Rfam family "Bacterial small subunit ribosomal RNA", at positions 331 to 793 of the family's 1533-position model. The record is from RNAcentral.
CCAGACUCCUACGGGAGGCAGCAGUGAGGAAUAUUGGUCAAUGGGCGGGAGCCUGAACCAGCCAAGCCGCGUGAGGGAAGAAGGUACAGCGUAUCGUAAACCUCUUUUGUCAGGGAACAAAGGCGGGGACUAGUCCCCGGAUGAGGGUACCUGAAGAAAAAGCAUCGGCUAACUCCGUGCCAGCAGCCGCGGUAAUACGGGGGAUGCAAGCGUUGUCCGGAAUCAUUGGGCGUAAAGAGUUCGUAGGUGGCACGUUAAGUCUGGUGUUAAAUGCAGAGGCUCAACCUCUGUUCGGCACUGGAUACUGGCGAGCUUGAAUGCGGUAGAGGUAAAGGGAAUUCCUGGUGUAGCGGUGAAAUGCGUAGAUAUCAGGAGGAACACCGGUGGCGAAGGCGGCCUGCUGGGCUGCAACUGACGUUGAGGCCCGAAAGCGUGGGGAGCAAACAGGAUUAGAUACCCUGGUAC